This 1195-nucleotide long non-coding RNA is filed under the name Prunus dulcis (almond). RNAcentral describes it as "sRNA ncRNA". The record is from RNAcentral. Lineage: Eukaryota; Viridiplantae; Streptophyta; Magnoliopsida; Rosales; Rosaceae.
GACCAGUCCAUGAACAACUCAAGUCUCUCCUUGCAAAACAUCAAAGCCUUCUCUAUUUCCCAACUCCAUUAAAUUCUUUUUCUUGUUUUGACUCCUCUUGAGAGUUUAAACACCAUGGGUUUCCGGUUGCCAGGAAUUGUUAACGCCAACAGAAGUCUAAGUCACAUAGCUGCCUCAAAAACCUUGGAUAUCCCCAAAGGCUGUUUUGCAGUGUAUGUUGGGGUGAGCCAGAAGAAGCGCUUUGUGAUUCCGAUAUCAUACUUGAAUGAGCCUUUAUUCCUGGAUUUGCUGAAUCAAGCAGAGGAAGAAUUUGGAUAUGAUCAUCCAAUGGGUGGAAUCACCAUCCCCUGCAAUGAAUACUCCUUCCUUGAUCUCACUUCCCGUUUCCGUGUAUGAAUAAACACUAGUGAAGUUAAUCUGGGAAGCCUUCUGUAUCCGAAGUAUUCCUCAUUUCGACCACAACUCGCUAAGUCGAGAUGAAGAAGAACAUGCAUGAUCACUCUCACAUCUUGUGUUGCUUGUGAAUCUGGCAAGCCUUCGGAAAUCAUCAAGAUGCUUGUGAGCCGGGAUCCAAAGUUAAGAAACCUUGUAAUACAGUCGAAUUACGUAUCUUGCCUCCAAUUUUUAUCUCAAAGAGGACAUUAUUUUGUGUUUAUACCCCAUGUACAGUUCUUAAUUGUUUGCUCUUCUGGAACAUAUGGGAAGAUAUGAAUAUAGUUUAAUUCCUCAUCCACUUUCUUGUCUUAUUAUCUAAUUGUAGCUAUGUUUUAUAAUCAUCAAAUGGCAGUGAAGAUUUUCUCAAGAUCAAUAAAGUAUAAUGACAUACUUUGCCUCAUGUUAAAGCUGGUUGAGAGAGGCGUAAGUUAUGAUGACUAAUGACAACUUCCCACUUUUUUUCUUGACCUAUAUCAUAACACUACCUGCAGGAAUCAUUAAUUUGGGAGACUAGCAUGGAAAAUCUGCUGCCAUAUGGCAUAUAACAGAUCUGGUAGAAGAUAACCCUAUAUCCUCCCAUUUUUCCUGGAGAGAUAAAAAAAUUUACAUAGGGGUAUAAAGACAAAAUUUGACUGUUUUUUAGUUCAAAAUUGAAGUCAUCGUCUCGGGGCUAUUGGUCUUAGAGAGUUCAUGAUAUCUAUGGCCUUUCGACUGCUUCACAAAUUUCGUAUCUUUGUGCUCAGCUCAUGCAGCUUGACGG